UUUUAUACUGUUUUUCAUUUUUCUCGCUAAACAUAAAUACCUAUUAGAAUCGUAGUUAUUUCCUUCCACUGAAACUUAACCUAGUAAUAACAGAAUCUAUAACAAUCAAAAUACAUCAGCUUUUUUUAAAUAGGUUAUCAGAUUUGGAUACUUGGAAAUAAACUAUUUUCCCUUUAAGCAUUACAUUUGCAUGUAAAAUUUAAUGUAUAACACAUUAUAAGUGAACUACUG
This 231-nucleotide long non-coding RNA is filed under the name Mytilus galloprovincialis (Mediterranean mussel). The record is from RNAcentral. Lineage: Eukaryota; Metazoa; Mollusca; Bivalvia; Mytilida; Mytilidae.